This 501-nucleotide ribosomal RNA is filed under the name uncultured bacterium. Its description in RNAcentral is "partial 16S ribosomal RNA". It matches the Rfam family "Bacterial small subunit ribosomal RNA", at positions 30 to 523 of the family's 1533-position model. The record is from RNAcentral.
AUUGAACGCUGGCGGCAGGCUUAACACAUGCAAGUCGAGCGGGGAGAUGUAGCUUGCUACAUUUCCUAGCGGCGGACGGGUGAGUAAUGCUUAGGAAUCUGCCUAUUAGUGGGGGACAACGUUUCGAAAGGAACGCUAAUACCGCAUACGCCCUACGGGGGAAAGCAGGGGAUCUUCGGACCUUGCGCUAAUAGAUGAGCCUAAGUCAGAUUAGCUAGUUGGUGGGGUAAAGGCCUACCAAGGCGACGAUCUGUAGCGGGUCUGAGAGGAUGAUCCGCCACACUGGGACUGAGACACGGCCCAGACUCCUACGGGAGGCAGCAGUGGGGAAUAUUGGACUAUGGGGGGAACCCUGAUCCAGCCAUGCCGCGUGUGUGAAGAAGGCCUUUUGGUUGUAAAGCACUUUAAGCGAGGAGGAGGCUACUAGUACUAAUACUACUGGAUAGUGGACGUUACUCGCAGAAUAAGCACCGGCUAACUCUGUGCCAGCCGCCGCAGUAA